Molecule: long non-coding RNA, 3614 nt
Organism: Mustela putorius furo (domestic ferret)
Lineage: Eukaryota; Metazoa; Chordata; Mammalia; Carnivora; Mustelidae
Source: Ensembl
NNNNNNNNNNNNNNNNNNNNNNNNNNNNNNNNNNNNNNNNNNNNNNNNNNNNNNNCGGCGGCUGCGGCCGGGACGGAGGCUGCGGGCUCCCAACCCGCGCUGCCCGCUUGGGUCCGAACGCGCUGGCGGAAGCACCGAAACGUGUGCUCGUUUGCGGCGCUGGACUGCAGGCACUGACCUUGCCCUCCAGUUAGAGCUUCAGUUUCCAGAUGCCAAGAAAAAACGAGGUUUUCUUCCCUUUUGCGAUCACUGUACCAUGAGCCUGUCGCCUACGCCUGCUCCGUUUCUUCCCCUAAACUCUGCUUUCUUUGGUUUGUUUCUUCUGGGAUGGGACGUGAAGUCAGUGUUUUCAGAGAAACAAAACAGCUUCCUGACGAAGUACUCCUCUGCGUCGAAGAGGCAGACUGUCCAUGUUGUAGUAAUUGCUUUAAAGUGAGUGGAAAAUUGGGAAAAGUUCAAGUGAAUUUUUAUCUUCAUCUGGAUCUCAUUGGAAUACCUACUCACACUCAAUGGAAACAUUCUAGUGGGUUUUUUUUUUUUUAAGAAUCAGAAAUAUUUAAGCAGAGACCUCGGGAUGGUAGAUUUUCUAAUGAAACCAAUACACAAUUUUACUUUUGUAUGAUUUUUUUUUCUAUUAUUAGAGAUCCUUGAGUCCCAAUUAAGAAACUACAAUACAAAAUCUUUACUAAUGCUUUUAUUAAAUUUCAAAACAGCAAAAAUUUUAAUAAAGAACCCAGAAUCUCAAGAUAUAAAUAGCUAUUGCUGAGAACCUAACAUUAACUCUGCCUCUGAACAGCCAUUAAAAGAGGCUAAUAACAGUGAUAUAUGCCACUUUAGAAAUGAAAGAACCCUAGUAAUUAUGAACUUCAAACAAAUCUAGCAAAUUAGUAUCAAUUUUGUUCGUAUGAAGUAUGUUCACCACGGUAAUAACACAUUUUAAAUUCUUGAUUUUCCUUUGAACACUGUUAAAGAUUCAUCACUUCUUGCCUGAACAAUAAGAAAGUGUUCUUAACAUUGGAAAAUAUAUUUGAAGCCAAGACAUCAUCCAGCUUGAAUUUUUUAAAAAAUGAGUGCUUCCUACACCAAUAAGAGAAAAACAUCGAUAUUACAAAAUUCUGAAAAUCAGACUCAAACGAAGAACAAAGCAAUCUUUACUCAAUAUUCACAAUGCCAGCCUUUCUUUGUGAAUAUUUAUAAAAAUGUUCUCCUUCCUUAUUGGUUUAAAUUCUAAGCCAAUAGCAGAAGUACAACACAUCUUUGAAAGGAUGAGAUAUUAGCACUGGCUUAAAACAUUGGAUAAAUAGAUUGUUUUUCAUGCUCGUUCUCAUUUAAGAUCAUGUAUCUUUUCAUUUCAAAGAAGAAAUUUAAGAAUAUUUGAAUGGUUGAGUAUCUUGAUGUACCUUAAAUACCAAAUUGCUACUCUUGAUCACACUCUGCUCUCUGUAAUCUUCCCAUUGGUUACAUUACAGUUUGCUAAAAUAUUUUAAUUCUCUAAAAUGCCAGAUGAAUCUAAAGAAUGACUAAAUGCCUACAACCUAAUACUUUAAGUAAGAUGAAAACUGCCAUUUCUUUCUAUGAAAGAUAACCUUUAAGGAAAUAAUAGUUUCUCUUUUAGAAAAUGUCUUGGAUUUUUGUAAAUAAAAUGGCCAAUGCAUCAUAAGUAAAUCUUUAAUAUUUGUCUAAAGCCAUCUUUGGCCUAUUUAAUGGCUAAAUACUAAACCUGCUUGUUGAUGUUUAUAUUUAUGUUUAGAACAUCAGUAUGAUUUCCUCCCAAUCAAAAAUAAUCUCUGCUUUCACAUUCUUUGAUUUUGACUCAGCAUUCUGCUUAAUUAUAAUUAUUUACAUAUUUAUAAUUUCCCUCAGUAAUUCAUCAGUUCCUUGAAGAUAGAUUCCAUUCCCCAUUCAAUCUUUUAUUCCUCAGAACCUUGUACAAUAUAAACAAUCCAGGGAUAUUUGCUGAAUGAAAGAAUGAGUGAGCGUUGCUCUACAACACAGCAUAUGGCAAAUCAAAGAAAAUCUGUCUCAGGACUUUUUCCUCCUGUACAUAAUAACUGAUAAAUACUUGUUUUCAUUCCAAUUAAACUUAGAAUAACAUUGUUCCAUUGCUGUUAAGUGGGCUCUACAACCAGAAUGGAGCCCAAUGUGGGGCCGAACUUACAACCCCAAGGUCAAGCCCCCAAGAUAAGUACUGAGCUAAGAUCAAGAGUCAGACACUUAACCAUUUGACCACCCAGGUGCCCCUAGAAUAGCAUCGUUGCAAGAAAGCUACUGAAAGAGAAUAAGACCAACAUAUGCUGGAGCGCCUGUAUUUUUCAAUUUUAAAUCUAGUGGAAACUGGAUAGUGGGUAAUAUUGCUGUCAUCUAAAGUAAAUAAGUAUCAGUGGACUUAUCUUUAUAAAGGAUUGCUUUACCAUGCUUAACAAGAGCUACGAGCUCUGUGACUUCAGGAAGAUUAUUUUAAGCCCUCUAAAACUCACUCAUUUCUCAAAUGCAUUCAUUAUAUUCACUUUAUGAUUAAUUGAAAUAAUGAAACCAUGUAAAAAUACUCAAUAGAAAGUAGUUACUAUUACUUGCAAAUAUUAGUGGGCUCAAUCAUGAAGAAAAAUGACUUUCUGUGCAAUUAUCUAUAAACGGCAGGCAUAAAGUUGUGUUUAAAAGAUUUUUAAGGGGCACCUGGGUGGCUCAAUGGGUUAAAGCCUCUGCCUUCAGCUCUCCAUCAUGAUCCCAGUGUCCUGGGAUCAAGCCCCACAUGGGGUUCUAUGCUCGUCGGGGAGCCUGCUUCCCCCAACUCUCUCGGCCUGCCUCUCUGCCUACUUGUGAUCUGUCAAAUAAAUAAAAUCUUUAAAAAUAAAUAAAUAAGUGGGGCGCCUGGGUGGCUCAGUGGGUUGGGCCGCUGCCUUCGGCUCAGGUCAUGAUCUCAGGGUCCUGGGAUCGAGUCCCGCGUCGGGCUCUCUUCUCGGCGGGGAGCCUGCUUCCUCCUCUCUCUCUCUCUGCCUGCCUCUCUACUUGUGAUGUCUCUCUGUCAAAUAAAUAAAUAAAACCUUUAAAAAUAAAUAAAUAAGUAAAAGAUUUUUAAAUGAGGAAACAAAUAUCCUGAGGGAAGGAAUAGAAUACUAACCACAUCUACUAAUGGGAGAUAACUUUUGAGAAUUGAAGUUUGCUAGGAGAAUAGAUCUUAAGUAUUCUACGCAUAUGUACCCCCCCACACAAGGUAAUCAUAUGAGGUGAUGGAUGUGUUAACCAUUCCACAAUAUAUGUUAAAUCACGUUGUACACACAUAAGUAUGUAUAAUUUUAUCAAUUGUAUAUCGGUAAAGCUGGGUGGGGAGGUAGAAGGAAGAGAAAAAAGUCAACCUACUAUUGAGAAACCAAAGAACAAUAACAAAAAAUAAGCAAGCAAAAAACAAAAAUAAGCAAACUGGAACAAGAAAAUAUAAGAAGAAAGAGGGCGUUGCAGACUGAGUGAAAACUUCAUGAAAAAUGAAAUCUGACUGCAUCAGAAACUUCACAGCUCCCCACUAUUUAUUUUAGCUUUUCUCAAAAUUGUAAGAAACACUGUAUGAGAAAAUCUGUAAAUGAAGGGUAAAUAAAUUAUACCUUUCCUUUAAACUGGAA